AGUGAACGCUGGCGGUAGGCCUAACACAUGCAAGUCGAACGGCAGCACAGGAGAGCUUGCUCUCUGGGUGGCGAGUGGCGGACGGGUUAGGAAUACAUCGGAAUCUACUUUUUCGUGGGGGAUAACGUAGGGAAACUUACGCUAAUCCCGCAUACGACCUACCGGUGAAAGCAGGGGACCUUCGGGCCGUGCGCGUUUGAAUGAGCCCAUGUCGGAUUAGCUAGUUGGCGGGGUAAAGGCCCACCAAGGCGACGAUCCGUAGCUGGUCUGAGAGGAUGAUCAGCCACACUGGAACUGAGACACGGUCCAGACUCCUACGGGAGGCAGCAGUGGGGAAUAUUGGACAAUGGGCGCAAGCCUGAUCCAGCCAUACCGCGUGGGUGAAGAAGGCCUUCGGGUUGUAAAGCCCUUUUGUUGGGAAAGAAAUCCAGCUGGCUAAUACCCGGUUGGGAUGACGGUACCCAAAGAAUAAGCACCGGCUAACUUCGUGCCAGCCGCCGCGGUAA
Molecule: ribosomal RNA, 506 nt
Filed under: uncultured bacterium
Lineage: Bacteria
Description: partial 16S ribosomal RNA
Rfam family: Bacterial small subunit ribosomal RNA
Source: RNAcentral